ACACCGCCAACCGGUCGCUCUAGAGUGCU
Molecule: small RNA, 29 nt
Filed under: Bombyx mori (domestic silkworm)
Lineage: Eukaryota; Metazoa; Arthropoda; Insecta; Lepidoptera; Bombycidae
Description: ovarian small RNA-4354
Source: RNAcentral